This 569-nucleotide ribosomal RNA is filed under the name uncultured beta proteobacterium. RNAcentral describes it as "SSU rRNA". It matches the Rfam family "Bacterial small subunit ribosomal RNA", at positions 242 to 803 of the family's 1533-position model. The record is from RNAcentral. Lineage: Bacteria; Pseudomonadati; Pseudomonadota; Betaproteobacteria.
CAGCUAGUUGGUAGGGUAAAAGCCUACCAAGGCAUCGAUCAGUAGCUGGUCUGAGAGGACGACCAGCCACACUGGAACUGAGACACGGUCCAGACUCCUACGGGAGGCAGCAGUGGGGAAUUUUGGACAAUGGGCGCAAGCCUGAUCCAGCAAUGCCGCGUGAGUGAAGAAGGCCUUCGGGUUGUAAAGCUCUUUUGUCAGGGAAGAAACGGGUCCUUCUAAUACAGGGGCCUAAUGACGGUACCUGAAGAAUAAGCACCGGCUAACUACGUGCCAGCAGCCGCGGUAAUACGUAGGGUGCAAGCGUUAAUCGGAAUUACUGGGCGUAAAGCGUGCGCAGGCGGUUUUGUAAGUCUGUUGUGAAAUCCCCGGGCUCAACCUGGGAAUGGCAAUGGAGACUGCAAGGCUAGAGUUUGGCAGAGGGGGGUAGAAUUCCACGUGUAGCAGUGAAAUGCGUAGAUAUGUGGAGGAACACCGAUGGCGAAGGCAGCCCCCUGGGUCAAAACUGACGCUCAUGCACGAAAGCGUGGGGAGCAAACAGGAUUAGAUACCCUGGUAGUCCACGCCCC